GACGAACGCUGGCGGCGUGCUUAACACAUGCAAGUCGUACGGUAAGGCCCUUUCGGGGGUCCACGAGUGGCGAACGGGUGAGUAACACGUGAGUAACCUGCCCACAACUUUGGGAUAACGCUAGGAAACUGGUGCUAAUACUGGAUAUGUGCUCCUGCUGCAUGGUGGGGGUUGGAAAGCUCCGGCGGUUGUGGAUGGACUCGCGGCCUAUCAGCUUGUUGGUGGGGUAGUGGCCUACCAAGGCGGCGACGGGUAGCCGGCCUGAGAGGGUGACCGGCCACAUUGGGACUGAGAUACGGCCCAGACUCCUACGGGAGGCAGCAGUGGGGAAUAUUGCACAAUGGGCGCAAGCCUGAUGCAGCAACGCCGCGGGCGGGAUGACGGCCUUCGGGUUGUAAACCGCUUUCAGCAGGGACGAAGCUUUUUGUGACGGUACCUGCAGAAGAAGCACCGGCUAACUACGUG
RNAcentral lists this ribosomal RNA (465 nucleotides) under uncultured bacterium. RNAcentral's name for it is "partial 16S ribosomal RNA". It matches the Rfam family "Bacterial small subunit ribosomal RNA", at positions 28 to 507 of the family's 1533-position model. The record is from RNAcentral.